UACCCAUGUCCAACCCUCAUGCACAUGCACAUUGCCCAGCCGCCCCUACGCCAUGCAUUGCCCAGCCGCUACACAGCCCUUGCGCAUUUCCCAGCUGCUGUGGGAGAUUCACUCUGCCCCUGCACAUCAUAUGUUCCAGCCUUUAUCCAUUGCCAGAAACAUUUGCUGUUGCCUUGUGCAUCACCCUGCAAGUAAUGAAUGUACUACUUCUGGUAUGUCAAAUUCCAGUUCUCUAUUCUUAGUAGAUCAAAUCCACUGAAUCAUUGUCAUCAUCCUGAAAUGUCCUGACCUGUUACGAAUCUCUCUCUCUCUCUCUCUCUCUCUCUCUCUCACACACACACACACACACACACACACACACACACACACAAGCUGUAUUAAUUCAUUCUGUUGUAUUGCAUAAAUGCCUCCUGAAAUAUCUCUUCUUUCUGGUAGUGUAGUGAUAUCCAUCUGUAACCUCGAGUGGGAGAUGUAUUCCAUGUUUCUACCUUUGUGGUGGUAACUUUUGACAGGAAGAAAUAGAUACACAAUUAAAAUUGUCUAAGAAUUGAUCUCUUGUUCCCCUUAUAAAUGAUAAUUAGUAGAUUAAGAUAUGGCAAUCAUCUGUGGCAAAUGUGGCAAAUUGACCCAACGGUUGCUUGGAUGCUCACACUCCUCCAAAUCUGCUCUGUUUUAUGGGUCUUUUAGCUUAAAUUGGUGAUUGGACCAGGCUUCUAGAAUGUAAGCCGAGGAGGACAGAAAUAAAUAAAUAAAAGGAUUGCCAUUAGGUACACCAUCUGAAGCAAGUUUGUCUUAAGUUCUCAUGCUUUGUAAAUGCUGAACUUUUUUUUAUGGGUCUUUAAUUCAAAUUGGUAGAGCACUUGGAACAUGACCAUGCCUCAAGCAUGUUCCAAGGGGAUGGUGGUUCGAAUCCACCAAGACCCUUUUGAUUAAACUGUUCAUACCAAAGUCAGUACGGCAAUCAUGGAAAAGUAAAUCCAAGUGAAAAUUGUAUUGUAGAUAAUACCAUAGAAAUGAAACUCACAAAAAGUCUGAAUGUAUAAAAAAGGGAUUAGAUAAAAAUUACUAUUAUUCAUCCAAUAUUGGUUUUGAAGUCAGAAAAAUAACAGCUAUAAAGGACUAAAUUAGAUAAAAAUAAUUAUUUACAAGUUAUUAGUUAUAGAUGGUUUCUCAUUUUCUUCCAAGAAAUCAAUUGUAUUAAAGAUGGUAAUUCGUUUUUUAGGAAAGAUAAAAUUUAAGAAGAUAACAAGUGGCAAGUAUUUAGGUUCAAUAUUACUGUAAUUAAUCAGGACAUUGUAGUUAAUUGUCAUCUUAAUCUUUGAAUGCCCCUUAAUUCCUACUUCGAGGAAACCUCUAUAGGGUACGUUUAUGCCUAUUAUGGAAAAACAUGUAGUGGGCACUGGCUCAUUUGGUUUUGUCUUUCAUUGUUCCUCUGUUUUGACAUUUUGAUUUGCUUGGUCUGGGCAAAGUACCUGGAAACAGGCGACCAUUGUAAUUCACCUCGCUUACCCUAUAUUGAAUACAAAAUUGGAAUUUAACAGAUUCAAAUUCGUAUUCUUCAUUUCAGUUUGUGUGCUGCAAUUGCCAUAAAGUAGUUUCUGAAGUCCAAAGUUACAAAAAACAUAGAACUCCAAAUCAUGUGGUGGAUUCACCAUCUUACUGUAUAGUUCAGCUGAAGCAUUGUUUCUCUUCUACUACUGGAAAGUGAUGAAUUGUACUUUAACCUCAUCCUAGAGAAGUGUCUAAGAUGGUUUACAAGUUUCAAAGCACUUACUUGGAUGAAUCAACAUGUUUGGCAGCUUCAUGCUUACCAAGUGAGAAUUGAUAAUGUUGUUAAAUAAUAUUUUUUUGGUUGUGAGACCAAUUUAUUGUACAACGAUUUUACUAUAGCAUAUUGUUCUCUUUUACUUUAUACUUUGGUCUAAUGUCAUUGGUGUGCUUUUUUGUUUUGUACUCCUGUGGUGCACGUUAUUGCAUUUAUAGCAUUAUUGGUGCGUGUCAUCUAAACCAAGGUUUUGAAAUUCUCACUAACGUCUUCGUGUUCUAGGGAAGAUGGCGGCUUAGAUUGGCGGUGCCUCCCCCCACCCCCAAAAAAAAAAAAAAAAAAAAAAAAAAAAAUCCUUUUUUCUAUUGUUUCAAGCUCCAAAGUUAGGAAAUACUUUUGAUUUGAAAUUUGAAAUAUUCCGCUUUAUAUGGCUUGAUUCUAGAAAGAGAACCAUUCUAUCUAACUGAAGUUUUAAUUUCUGUUUCAUGUUCCUUGAUCUUUGCGGCCACCGUAUGCAUGGCUGCAUGCCAGCGUGCGCCAUGGUGUGCUGCUGUGGCCUGCCAUGGCACACGAAAAAAAGCUAAAUGGCACAUCGGUUUUGAUGACUAGGCCCUUGGUGUGCGCUGUGGCCUGCCAUGGCGUGCUGCUGGGUGUGCAUGGCUGCCUGCCAUGGGCUGCCACACCCCCACAGCCGCUGCCACAUGUGCCCGUAGCAGCACAUCAUGCCUAACAAAGGCAUUGCAAGUGAAAACAAGUACAUGGCGCGGCCGUCCCAAUGAUCAGUCGCUCUGCCGCACACCGCUGCCUACCACCGUGUGCUGCUGGGCGCGCAUGGCUGCCUGCCAUGUGCAGCCGUGCCCCCACACAGCUGUGGCCUGCACCAAUGCAUGCACUGGCCUGCGACCAUGCGCGCGCUGGCCUGCAAGCCAUGCUUGCGCUGGCCUGGCUUUUGAAAGUAAAGCAGAAUUGCUCUUGUCGACUCUGGUAAUCCGCAGGUUUGUUGUAGUUAUUAGCAUUACUUGGUGUCUUUCGGUUUUACGAUGAAUCAUAGACAGAUUUUGAAAGUUUUAGUUCCUUUGUUUGGUUGGGUUUGGACUCAGGUUUUUUAGAGGUUUCUUUUGUGGAUUUUGGGAACUGGGGUGUGGUUAAGAUUCUGUCACUAUGGCGAUCAAGGCCUCUCCAGGAAGCUCUGGUUACUUGGAUUCAGUCCAAGAGGGCAAGGUUUCGUAUUUCAGCAACCGUUAUUUACUCGGAUUGACUCUCACUGCUGGUAUUGGGGGCUUGUUGUUUGGAUAUCAUACAGGUAAUAAAUUUUCUUAUGUGUGCUUAGUUCAUUGCAGGUACUGAUAUUAUUCUAUGGUGUAUGAUUGAUUUUUUUGCUGUUACUUCUAGAAUUCAAAUUUGAUGAAUUUACAUGUGAAGUUAUUAACUACAAAAUCAUAUUUCUUUGGUAAUGAAGUUAGUCCAAUUUUUAAGGAAAGACGAGAGUGUACAAACCAGUAUGGGAUUAGAGGAGCACACUGGACCUGGGGAUUAUAGAAACUAAGAAAACAGUGUUGGUCUUCAGUUGAAGGAUUCAAUGGUCUCUCAUUUUAUUUUCAAUAACUAUCACGAAAUCGAUUUAGGAAUGUCAUUGUAGUCUUUCAUUUAUUUAUUUUCUUUGGUAGGAGAUAGCUAUAGGGAGAUGGUAGUUUCCUAGUUGGUUUUAGUUUCCUAUUUGGAGGUGCUUUCUAAGUUUUAGUUUCUUCUAUAUAUGCUGUAACCAUAAUAGAGUUUUCAGAUCAUAGAGAAGGAGUUGCAAGUUUUGGUUGAAGCCUGCGUGGCUGUGUGUGUGAACUUCUCCCCUGCAAUCUCUCCCAUGCUCUCUCCCUCCCCCAGCGAGACCUCCCUUCUUCUUCUGCUUCCCUCUUAUUUUUUUGUCUUUACUGAGUUGCUUAAACCCAUACCCAACGCCCUGUCCAGCGAUAACAGUUAUUCACAACUGGGCAUUGGUCCUCCUCACCCUGUUUCCCUUUGUAAUCCGACAUUAAUUGCGAGUCCUCCUACCCCAUGUUCCCUAGUUCUGAACUUAACCUCAUUAAGCAUAUUUCCUAUUGUAAGUUUCAUUUCCUUCGAGAACACCUCACACCUCAAGAAAAGGAGAUAAGCAUGUCAUAAAUAUGAAGAAACCAGUCAACAUUCAAAACAACCUCAAGAAAAGGAGAUACACAAGGGGAAACGAGGCCCAGACUCUGCAUUACUCUCAUUCCUCGUUCACCUAAAUGCUGAGAUUUUCCUGAUGCGCUCAAUACCUAAUUACAUUUCAAUUUAUAGAUCAAUAUGUUCAAGAAAGCACACUGGAGGAUACCUGUAGGAAACAGACAAUUUAUAAACCGAAAAAAAAAAAAAAAAAAAAAGAUAAACAAAAGCAACAACAAAAAGAUAUGGGGUUUACCGAGUUUGGGCUGUCUGCUCUCAGUUUCUUCUGACCUUGAACUUGCUUUUGAGUGUCAAUUUCUGAAGCUCCCUCCCCUGCUUUUUCAAGGCCAUGCGCUCUGGAGUUCAUGUAAGUUUGCAUUACUAAUAAAUGCUGGAUUUCCUCCAGAGAAGAAUUUGCAGGAUGAAUUAAUGUUUGUGAAGCCUAUAUAAUGUAAUUUGUGAACUGUGACAUUGUGAGAGCCUGCAAUUAUUCAAUUUGGUUUUGGUAUUUCUACCUGAUUACCAAUCAAUGUUAUACAACUUUUGUCUGUGUAAACCUCCUAGUACCUGUUUGAAUAUAUUCACAUAUUCAGGUGUACGAAUUAGACUGUUCUAUUCAUAUAGCAUAUUGAUUUUUCAAACAUAUUAUAAGAUUGGUACAUAUAUGGAGUUUAAAUUUCUAAUUAUGUAUGAGUGUGGGAAUUCAUGAACUGAAUCGCUUUUCUCUGAAACUUUGUUACCAUGAGAUCAAAUCUUAACUAAUCUACAUUCUCCAGUUUAGAAGUUCGUGUAGAUUAUAUAUAUAUAUAUAUAUAUAUAUAAUAUUUUUUACUUUAAUGGAAUUUUUGCAAUUAUCUGCUUUGAAAUUAUUUGUCGCUUCUAAACUGUCAAGGCUUUCACUCUUAGAGACAAGAUUCCUUUGGGUAAAUUUGAAUAUUGAAUCCAAUCUUCUGCUACUUCCUAAUUAUUCUUUUGUUUUCCUUCUUGUUUUAACUGGUUUUUUCUCCCGAGAAGAUUAGGUGGAUCUAAGGAUUUUUUAUCCCUUCGUUGAAAUGAACGCAUGUUGGCUAUUCAUCUCGGGAUUUUAAGUUGGUAACUUCGUGUUCUGUUGGUCUGGAAAUGGUUAUCUCGAUUUGGCAGGAAUCAUUCAGUCAGAAAUAUGGGGAUCGUGUUGAUCUGGCUGUCAGAAUGACUUGAAUGCCUUCAGAUGAUAGACGUGAAGCAUUUAUUAAUAGGGUUUAGAGAUUUUUAUUUGACUUGGCAUAUUCAGUUCUUCCCUCCCCCAAACUUAAACAUUAGUCCUUCAAUCUUAGUUUUUAGUUCAAGAUUAUUGGGGAAUUUCGAUUUCUUAACCAGUUUAUUGUUAAAUUUGUUAGCAUCAGUUUUGUUGAAUGGGCUUCUUGUGUAGAUACAGGCUUUGUUGGAUGAUUGUGGCUAUAAACUGAGAAAUGAGUCGACAACCUCCCAUCAAUAAUAGGCCUUCCCAAGCCAUAUCUCUCUUCUAAAACAACAACAAAGCCUUAUCCCAACUAAUGGGGUCGGCUACAUGGAUCCGCGAUAGACAAGAGACUAGAUGGUUCCAAAGGUCAUGUAUCUUCACUCUGCUACAUUUUCCUAAUAUGCUGAAGAAAGGUGAUCUUCACAAGAUCCACUCUGAACUCCUGACAUGCCUUCCAUCCAUGCGCAAUAUGGUAGAUUUGUGUAGAUUAUGGGAUAAUCUAAAGGCGUAAUGGAUUUUCCUCGCUUUCGGGCUGUGACAUUGUGGAGCUCAAUAACUGUUGGCCUGAGUGAUUCUCCAAUAGCCAUCACACCGAUGUUUGUGUUCUAGGAAUAUCAUUUUACUUGGAAUUUUCUGCUUCAUAAUAGUUAUUUUUUGUAUUUAGUUAUUUUAUUAUUAUUACCAUUGUUUGAAGACAGAUGAGUUGAAAAGGAUAUGUCGUUGACUUGUUCCACAUAUGUUGCAUGCUAUCAAUGGUGAUGUAUUCAUGAAUCAGAUCUGGUCACUUAGUCAAGUCGGCUUUUGACCGAUCGUUGCAUCAUUAAGUGGUGUGUUGGAAGUAUUACAACAUCAAGUACAUGCAUGUUCUUAGGAAGCAGUGGGGGGUGAUUAUUUAUCAGACCAGGAUAGGGUUUAAGAGGCUUUCCCAGCCUGAACUUGUUCGAUUCAGCACUAAAAUCUCUUGACAAAGUACAUUUAAAUGCAUGUCUUUAACCUCAGGAUAAUGGGUUUUGAUUGUAGGAUAAUUGGUCGUUACUUUGGUAAUGUGAAACAUCAUCCUUAUCUGUUUACAGUAUUUUUUAUGAACAGGUCUAGAGCUCCAUCCAUGGGCUUGCCUUUGCUGGAGCAUAUAUUUCCUUAUGUCUAGAACUAUGAUGCCUCUUAAUUCGGUUCCAUCAUCCAGCCAGCCAAAAUCUAUGCGUCCGUGCAAAAACUACUUUGUGGAAGCAGUAUCUAUAGCAAUCCCAUGGUCUGGUGGGGAAAUGGAGCAUUUGAAGUUAGCUUGCUACAGUCCAUUGCUUCAAUUUCAACCUUGACUUAUAUUUGGAUUGUACUAGUGAUAUGACCCACGCUAACAAAGCCUUCUCCUCAAACACUGCCUACAACCUGCUCUCAACAUUAUAAUACAAUAUGGUUGGAACCUCUUCAACUAUUUUCUAUUCAAUAAUUUCAAUAAAUUUGAUUGUGGCUUCUGUUUCUUGUA
Macadamia integrifolia is the source of this 6645-nucleotide long non-coding RNA. RefSeq lists it as uncharacterized. Lineage: Eukaryota; Viridiplantae; Streptophyta; Magnoliopsida; Proteales; Proteaceae. The record is from RefSeq and is a predicted model, not a curated record. The transcript is spliced from 2 exons.